This 112-nucleotide ribosomal RNA is filed under the name Caerostris darwini. The record is from RNAcentral. Lineage: Eukaryota; Metazoa; Arthropoda; Arachnida; Araneae; Araneidae.
AACGGCCGUACCAUGCUGAAUAUACCGGUUCUCGUUAGAUCACCGAAGUUAAGCAUCAUUGGGCGCGGUCAGAACUUGGGUGGGUGACCACCUGGGAACACUGCGUGCCGUU